This 699-nucleotide ribosomal RNA is filed under the name uncultured Bacteroidales bacterium. RNAcentral describes it as "bacterial SSU rRNA". It matches the Rfam family "Bacterial small subunit ribosomal RNA", at positions 66 to 761 of the family's 1533-position model. Lineage: Bacteria; Pseudomonadati; Bacteroidota; Bacteroidia; Bacteroidales. The record is from RNAcentral.
GGCAGCAUGACCUAGCAAUAGGUUGAUGGCGACCGGCGCACGGGUGAGUAACACGUAUCCAACCUACCGGUUAUUCCGGGAUAGCCUUUCGAAAGAAAGAUUAAUACCGGAUAGUAUAACGAGAAGGCAUCUUCUUGUUAUUAAAGAAUUUCGAUAACCGAUGGGGAUGCGUUCCAUUAGUUUGUUGGCGGGGUAACGGCCCACCAAGACAUCGAUGGAUAGGGGUUCUGAGAGGAAGGUCCCCCACAUUGGAACUGAGACACGGUCCAAACUCCUACGGGAGGCAGCAGUGAGGAAUAUUGGUCAAUGGACGAGAGUCUGAACCAGCCAAGUAGCGUGAAGGAUGACUGCCCUAUGGGUUGUAAACUUCUUUUAUAUGGGAAUAAAGUGAGCCACGUGUGGCUUUUUGUAUGUACCAUACGAAUAAGGAUCGGCUAACUCCGUGCCAGCAGCCGCGGUAAUACGGAGGAUCCGAGCGUUAUCCGGAUUUAUUGGGUUUAAAGGGAGCGUAGGCGGACUAUUAAGUCAGCUGUGAAAGUUUGCGGCUCAACCGUAAAAUUGCAGUUGAUACUGGUCGUCUUGAGUGCAGUAGAGGUAGGCGGAAUUCGUGGUGUAUCGGUGAAAUGCUUAGAUAUCACGAAGAACUCCGAUUGCGAAGGCAGCUUACUGGACUGUAACUGACGCUGAUGCUCGAAAGUG